UGCGGAUAGAUCAUAACGCUUUGAUUUCUUUAGUUGAAGAGAACUGGAAAGUUCCGUCGUAGAAGGGAAUAACCCUGUAGGCGAAAAGGAAAGAAAAGUAGAUCUACUCCAGAGUACCACGAGACACGUGAAACCUUGUGGGAAGCUGGGAGGACCAUCUCCCAAGGCUAAAUACUACCUAGUGACCGAUAGUGAAGCAGUACCGUGAGGGAAAGGUGAAAAGAACCCCGGAAGGGGAGUGAAAUAGAAUCUGAAACCGUGUGCCUACAAUCGGUCGGAGCACAUUAAAGUGUGACGGCGUACUUUUUGUAGAACGGGCCAGCGAGUUACGAUAUAUAGCAAGGUUAAGCACUUAUGGUGUGGAGCCGAAGGGAAACCGAGUCUGAAUAGGGCAACUAGUUGUAUAUUGUAGACCCGAAACCGGGUGACCUAUCCAUGGCCAGGAUGAAGCGGAAGUAAAAUUCCGUGGAGGUCCGAACCACGUUGGUGUUGAAAAACCAUGGGAUGAGCUGUGGAUAGCGGAGAAAUUCCAAUCGAACUCGGAGAUAGCUGGUUCUCCUCGAAAUAGCUUUAGGGCUAGCGUCGGG
RNAcentral lists this ribosomal RNA (587 nucleotides) under Clostridium sp. K25. RNAcentral describes it as "bacterial LSU rRNA". It matches the Rfam family "Bacterial large subunit ribosomal RNA", at positions 296 to 886 of the family's 2925-position model. Lineage: Bacteria; Bacillati; Bacillota; Clostridia; Eubacteriales; Clostridiaceae. The record is from RNAcentral.